Bos taurus (domestic cattle) is the source of this 808-nucleotide long non-coding RNA. The record is from Ensembl. Lineage: Eukaryota; Metazoa; Chordata; Mammalia; Artiodactyla; Bovidae.
CCCUGAUCCACUUCCUUUUUUCCAAAGCACUUUGUUGUUGUUCAAUCUCUCAUCCUAGGGGAAAAAGUGAAAGUGAAAGUCGCUCAGUCGUGUCCGACUCUUUGUCCAUGGAAUUCUCCAGGCCAGAACACUGGAGUGGUCUCUUCCCUUCUCCAGGGGAUCUUCCGAACCCAGGGAUCAAACCCAGGUCUCCCGCAUUGCAGGCGGAUUCUUCACCGACUGAACUAUCAGAGAAGCCCUCAUCCUCGGGGACUGGAAUGCAAAAGUAGGAGGUCAAGGAUACGCAUUAACAGUUGGAGGAUGCUUUACAAUAUUGUGUUGGCUUCUGCCAUACAUCAACAUGAAUCUGCCACAGGCUCAGCGGAGGUCAAGUAUCUCUCCUCGUCCCUUGACUUUGAACUUGGCCAAUGAUGGUGUGUCAGUUUCCAACUCUAGACCUUGGGAAGCCUCCCACGUUUCUGCAUCACGCUUACAGGAUCUGUUUCCUGACCAGGAAUUGAAUGUGGGCCACAGCAGUGAAAGUGCCAAAUUCUAACCACUAGACCAGGGAGGAGCAGGGGACGACAGAAAAUGAGAUGGUUGGAUGGCAUCACCAACGCAAUGGACAUGAGUUUGAGCAAGCUCCGGGAGUUGGUGAUGGAGAAGCCUGGUGUGCUGCAGUCCAUGGGGUCACAAGGAGUCGGACACGACUGAGUGACUGAACUGAACUGAACUGAACUGAGACCAGGGAACUCCCUAUAUAUAUAUAUAUAUGUAUAUAUACUUUUUUCCUGGUUAAUGUAUUUAUUAUGUAACUGUUAGUUCUGAG